This 664-nucleotide ribosomal RNA is filed under the name uncultured fungus. RNAcentral's name for it is "eukaryotic LSU rRNA". The stretch from base 263 to 416 matches the Rfam family "5.8S ribosomal RNA". Lineage: Eukaryota; Fungi. The record is from RNAcentral.
CUUGGUCAUUUAGAGGAAGUAAAAGUCGUAACAAGGUUUCCGUAGGUGAACCUGCGGAAGGAUCAUUAAAAGUAAUAUGUAUUCUCUCGAAUAUACAUUAUAAACCCAUCUGUGUAUCUUACCCGUUGCUUCCGCGAGGCAGUGAUCUCGGUCACCUCCGAACGACGGCGAAAGCUGUCCGACGGGGAGCACUCGCGGGAGGUAUACAUCAAACUCUUGCAUUUUUAUGUCAUCUGUCUGAACUGUUUAUAACAAAUGUUAAAACUUUCAACAACGGAUCUCUUGGUUCUCGCAUCGAUGAAGAACGCAGCGAAAUGCGAUAAGUAGUGUGAAUUGCAGAAUUCAGUGAAUCAUCGAAUCUUUGAACGCACAUUGCGCCUCCUGGUAUUCCGGGAGGCAUGCCUGUUCGAGUGUCAUGAAGCUAUCAACUCACUUCUUUUGUUAGAAGUGCAGCUUGGAAUUGGAGCCUUGUCGGCGUUUCGUUACGUCGACUGCUCUGAAAUGCAUUAGCUCAAUUUACUAAGGCUGCUUCAGUGUAGUAAUCUCUUCACUGUCACGCAUCUCUCAGUUAAAAGGAGCUCAUAAAGCACCCCUUCAUUUCAACUUUCGACCUCGAAUCAGGUAGGACUGCCCGCUGAACUUAAGCAUAUCAAUAAGCGGAGGA